ACGCUCGACACCUACGGGAGGCUGCAGUGGGGAAUAUUGCACAAUGGGGGAAACCCUGAUGCAGCGACGCCGCGUGGAGGAAGAAGGUCUUCGGAUUGUAAACUCCUGUUGUUGGGGAAAAAGAGGAUGGUACCCAACAAGGAAGUGACGGCUAACUACGUGCCAACAGCCGCGGUAAUCUGAGCGGGCUGGCAAGGC
Molecule: ribosomal RNA, 198 nt
Filed under: uncultured bacterium
Lineage: Bacteria
Description: partial 16S ribosomal RNA
Rfam family: Bacterial small subunit ribosomal RNA
Source: RNAcentral